RNAcentral lists this ribosomal RNA (438 nucleotides) under uncultured crenarchaeote. Its description in RNAcentral is "bacterial SSU rRNA". It matches the Rfam family "Archaeal small subunit ribosomal RNA", at positions 900 to 1337 of the family's 1478-position model. The record is from RNAcentral. Lineage: Archaea; Thermoproteati; Thermoproteota.
GCUUAAUUGGAGUCAACGCCGGGAACUUUACCGGGGGGCGACAGCAGGAUAACGGCCAGGCUAAUGACCUUGCCUGACGCGCUGAGAGGAGGUGCACGGCCGUCGCCAGCUCGUGCCGUGAGGUGUCUGGUUAAGUCCAGCAACGAGCGAGACCCUGCCCCUAAUUGCUACCUGCUCCUUCGGGAGUAGGGCACAUUAGAGGGACUGCCGGCGUCUAAGCCGGAGGAAGGUGGGGGCCACGGCAGGUCAGCAUGCCCCGAAACCCCCGGGCUGCACGCGGGCUACAAUGGCUGGGACAGCGGGAACCGACCUCGAAAGAGGAAGGUAAUCCCUCAAACCCAGCCGCAGUUGGGAUCGAGGACUGAAACCCGUCCUCGUGAACGAGGAAUCCCUAGUAACCGCGCGUCAUCAUCGCGCGGUGAAUACGUCCCUGCUCCU